This 253-nucleotide ribosomal RNA is filed under the name uncultured bacterium. RNAcentral's name for it is "partial 16S ribosomal RNA". It matches the Rfam family "Bacterial small subunit ribosomal RNA", at positions 524 to 776 of the family's 1533-position model. The record is from RNAcentral.
UACGGAGGGGGCUAGCGUUGUUCGGAAUUACUGGGCGUAAAGCGCACGUAGGCGGAUCAGUAAGUUAGAGGUGAAGGCCCAGGGCUCAACCCUGGAACUGCCUUUGAUACUGCUAGUCUAGAGAUCGAGAGAGGUGAGUGGAAUUCCGAGUGUAGAGGUGAAAUUCGUAGAUAUUCGGAGGAACACCAGUGGCGAAGGCGGCUCACUGGCUCGAUACUGACGCUGAGGUGCGAAAGCGUGGGGAGCAAACAGG